RNAcentral lists this ribosomal RNA (256 nucleotides) under uncultured bacterium. RNAcentral describes it as "partial 16S ribosomal RNA". It matches the Rfam family "Bacterial small subunit ribosomal RNA", at positions 524 to 777 of the family's 1533-position model. The record is from RNAcentral.
UACGUAGGUGACAAGCGUUGUCCGGAUUUACUGGGCGUAAAGAGCGCGCAGGCGGUCGUUCAAGUCGAGUGUGAAAGCCCCCGGCUACAACUGGGGAGGGUCAUUCGAUACUGAUCGACUCGAAGGCAGGAGAGGGUAGUGGAAUUCCCGGUGUAGUGGUGAAAUGCGUAGAUAUCGGGAGGAACACCAGUGGCGAAGGCGACUACCUGGCCUGUUCUUGACGCUGAGGCGCGAAAAGCUAGGGGAGCAAACGGGG